AACUAAUGAACUUGAAUAAGUAUAUACUUUGAAAGCAUAUAAAAGAGAUUACAAUUCUCUAUUAGUUU
RNAcentral lists this transfer RNA (68 nucleotides) under Heterotarsus carinula. RNAcentral's name for it is "tRNA-Ser". Lineage: Eukaryota; Metazoa; Arthropoda; Insecta; Coleoptera; Tenebrionidae. The record is from RNAcentral.